RNAcentral lists this unclassified non-coding RNA (219 nucleotides) under uncultured Mycena. RNAcentral describes it as "sequence contains ITS2". Lineage: Eukaryota; Fungi; Basidiomycota; Agaricomycetes; Agaricales; Tricholomataceae. The record is from RNAcentral.
AAUUAUCAACCUUGCUCGCUUUUACCGGCUUGAGCUGAGGCUUGGACGUGGGGGUUGCUGGCUUCCUUCAGUGGAUGGUCUGCUCUCCUUAAAUGCAUUAGCGGAAUCUCUUGUGGACCGUCACUCGGUGUGAUAAUUAUCUAUACCGCAUGGCCUUGAAGCAAACUUAUGGGACUCAGCUUAUAACCGUCUUCUUUACUGAGACAAUUUUUAAUAACA